RNAcentral lists this ribosomal RNA (253 nucleotides) under uncultured bacterium. RNAcentral describes it as "partial 16S ribosomal RNA". It matches the Rfam family "Bacterial small subunit ribosomal RNA", at positions 524 to 776 of the family's 1533-position model. The record is from RNAcentral.
UACGAAGGGGGCUAGCGUUGCUCGGAAUUACUGGGCGUAAAGGCGCGUAGGCGGCACUGUUAGUCAGGCGUGAAAUUCCUGGGCUCAACCUGGGGACUGCGCUUGAUACGGCAGAGCUAGAGGAUGGAAGAGGCUCGCGGAAUUCCCAGUGUAGAGGUGAAAUUCGUAGAUAUUGGGAAGAACACCGGUGGCGAAGGCGGCGAUCUGGGAAGAUACUGACGCUGAGGUGCGGAAAGCGUGGGGAGCAAACAGG